Molecule: ribosomal RNA, 176 nt
Filed under: uncultured bacterium
Lineage: Bacteria
Description: partial 16S ribosomal RNA
Rfam family: Bacterial small subunit ribosomal RNA
Source: RNAcentral
ACUCCUACGGGAGGCAGCAGUGGGGAAUUUUGGACAAUGGGCGCAAGCCUGAUCCAGCCAUCCCGCGUGAGUGAAGAAGGCCUUCGGGUUGUAAAGCUCUUUCGCAAGGGAAGAAACGAUGCAGUCGAAUAAACUGCGUUAAUGACGGUACCUUGAUAAGAAGCACCGGCUAACUA